GAUGAAGAACGCAGCGAAAUGCGAUAAGUAAUGCGAAUUGCAGAAUUCAGUGAGUCAUCGAAUCUUUGAACGCACAUUGCGCCCGCCAGUAUUCUGGCGGGCAUGCCUGUUCGAGCGUCAUUACAACCCUCAGGCCCCCGGGCCUGGCGUUGGGGAUCGGCGGAAGCCCCCUGCGGGCACAACGCCGUCCCCCAAAUACAGUGGCGGUCCCGCCGCAGCUUCCAUUGCGUAGUAGCUAACACCUCGCAACUGGAGAGCGGCGCGGCCACGCCGUAAAACACCCAACUUCUGAAUGUUGACCUCGAAUCAGGUAGGAAUACCCGCUGAACUUAAGCAUAUCAAUAAGCGGAGGA
RNAcentral lists this unclassified non-coding RNA (353 nucleotides) under soil metagenome. RNAcentral's name for it is "partial contains 5.8S ribosomal RNA, internal transcribed spacer 2, and large subunit ribosomal RNA". The stretch from base 1 to 120 matches the Rfam family "5.8S ribosomal RNA", at positions 35 to 154 of the family's 154-position model. The record is from RNAcentral.